AGUGAACGCUGGCGGUAGGCCUAACACAUGCAAGUCGAACGGCAGCACAGUAAGAGCUUGCUCUUACGGGUGGCGAGUGGCGGACGGGUGAGGAAUACAUCGGAAUCUACUUUUUCGUGGGGGAUAACGUAGGGAAACUUACGCUAAUACCGCAUACGACCUACGGGUGAAAGCAGGGGAUCUUCGGACCUUGCGCGAUUGAAUGAGCCGAUGUCGGAUUAGCUAGUUGGCGGGGUAAAGGCCCACCAAGGCGACGAUCCGUAGCUGGUCUGAGAGGAUGAUCAGCCAACCUGGAACUGAGACACGGUCCAGGCUCCUACGGGAGGCAGCAGUGGGGAAUAUUGGACCAUGGGCGCAAGCCUGAUCCAGCCAUGCCGCGUGGGUGAAGAAGGCCUUCGGGUUGUAAAGCCCUUUUGUUGGGAAAGAAAAGCAGCAGGUUAAUACCCCGCUGUUCUGACGGUACCCAAAGAAUAAGCACCGGCUAACUUCGU
This 491-nucleotide ribosomal RNA is filed under the name uncultured bacterium. RNAcentral's name for it is "partial 16S ribosomal RNA". It matches the Rfam family "Bacterial small subunit ribosomal RNA", at positions 29 to 506 of the family's 1533-position model. The record is from RNAcentral.